RNAcentral lists this ribosomal RNA (1983 nucleotides) under Triticum aestivum (bread wheat). RNAcentral describes it as "partial small subunit ribosomal RNA". Lineage: Eukaryota; Viridiplantae; Streptophyta; Magnoliopsida; Poales; Poaceae. The record is from RNAcentral.
AUGGAGGACAGCCAGGCUUUAGUUCAUGCGGAAGACAGUCAGGCUUUAGUUCAUGCGGAACACAGUCAGGCUUUAGUUCGUGCGGAAGACAGUCAGGCUUUAGUUUGUGCGGAAGACAGUCAUGCUUUAGUUCAGGCCGAGGAAAAUCAGGUUUUAGUUCAGGUGGAAGAUGGCGAUGUUCUAGUUGAGGGGGAUGAAGACCAGAUCUUAGUCGAGCCAGAGAAGGACCCUGUACCGUGUGAGCAAUUCCUUUUCAUCGGCCAAGAGUUUACCGAUGUUGACACUUGCCGGAGGGCAAUCAAGGAUAUGGCCGUUGCUCUGCAUUUCCAGCUGCGCGUCGUGAAAUCGGACCGUAGCCGAUUCAUUGCCAAAUGCAACACAGAAGGAUGCCCGUGGCGUGUGCAUGUGGCCAAGUGCCAUGGUGUUCCAACUUUCACGGUCCGGACAUUGCAAGGAGAGCACACAUGUGAGGGUGUUCAGGACCUACAUCAUCAACAGGCCACUGUUAACUGGGUGGCUAGGUCUGUUGAGGCAAGGCUAAGAGAUAAUCCGCAGAUUAAGCCAAAAGAGAUAUUGCAGGAUAUUCGGGACCAGCAUGGGGUUGCUGUGUCUUAUAUGCAGGCAUGGCGCGGAAAGGAGAGAAGCAUGGCUGCUGUUCAUGGUACCCUUGAGGAUGGAUAUCGCCUUCUUCCUGCAUACUGUGAGCAGAUUGGAAAGACAAAUCCUGGUAGUGUUGCAGUAUACAAAGGGGCUGGGCCGGAGAAUUCCUUCCAACGGCUCUUUGUUUCAUUUCAUUCAUCUAUUUAUGGUUUCUUAAAUGCGUGUAGACCCCUUUUGGAAAUUGACAAGGCGGAUCUAAAGGGCAAGUAUCUUGGGACAUUGCUAUGUGCUUCGGCUGUUGAUGCUGAUCACAUGAUGUUCCCUGUAGCAUUUGGUGUCGUUGAUUCUGAAAGUGAUGAGAACUGGAUGUGGUUUAUCUCAGAACUGAGGAAGAUGCUUGGUGUUAACACGGAUAAGAUGCCUGUCUUUACAAUAAUCUCUGAGAGACAACCACAGGUGGUUGAAGCUGUCGAGGUCAACUUCCCAACUGCUUUUCAUGGAUUUUGCUUGAGACAUGUGAGUGAGAAUUUCCGCGAGGAGUUCAAGAGUCCUAAACUUCUGAACCUUUUCUGGGGUGCCGUUUAUGCUCUCACAACAGCAGAAUUUGAUUCAAAGGUAAAAGAUAUGAUGCAAGUUCAAGAUGUCAUGCCAUGGUUCCAGAAUUUUCCACCAAACCUCUGGGCAGUUGCUUACUUUGAGGGUAUCAGAUAUGGCCAUUUUAGUCUUGCUAUAACUGAGAUAUUAUAUAACUGGGCCCUGGAGUGUCAUGAGCUUCCCAUUGUGCAAACUGUUGAAUACAUCAGGCACCAACUAACCUGCUGGUUUACUGAACGUCACAAUUUGGCAUUAUCCCUUAACUCAGUUCUUGUUCCAUCUGCUGAGAAACUUAUUUCUGAAUCCAUUUCUGAUUCAAGAUGUUAUCAAGUACUCCGAGCAAACAAGGUGGAGUUUGAGAUCGUGUCAUCUGAGCGAACAAACAUUGUGGAUACUCAAACCAGGUUCUGCUCGUGCCGUCGGUGGCAAAUUUAUGGUAUUCCAUGUGCACAUGCUGCUGCUGCACUACUUUCAUGUGGUGAAGAUCCUCGCCUACAGGAUCCACUGGAGCAAUUCGUCCUCUGGGCCGCGAGGUCUAUACAAAUCAGACAUGAUACUUCGCCCACCGAAGAUCCGAAGACCUCCUGGCCGUCCCAAAAUGAAGAUUCUCAAGAUGGAAAGCUUGAAACGGCCGAAACGGAUCGUUCAGUGUGGCUGGUGUCAUCUUCUUGGGCAUUCUCAGAAAAAGUGUUCAUUACGAAGCUGACAUAUAUUUCUAUCCGCCUCCCUUCUUUUAUGUCCAAUAGUAUUAGUUUUCAGCAGUUCCCUUGUUGGCAUUUGGCAAGGUAG